RNAcentral lists this unclassified non-coding RNA (2855 nucleotides) under Hevea brasiliensis (rubber tree). Lineage: Eukaryota; Viridiplantae; Streptophyta; Magnoliopsida; Malpighiales; Euphorbiaceae. The record is from RNAcentral.
GAAACAUGGGGCUUUUGAAAACUGAGAGGAAAAGGAAAACGAAAAAUUGGAAAAUCGUUAUGGCUGAGCACUGAACCAGAGAAAAGCAUACUCUGCGCUGAGAUUUCAGAAUUGCAGUUGCACAUCCAUUACCUGAAUGACUAACGCCAUUAAAAUGGGCGAAGCUCGCAAACUGAAAGAGCAAAACCGUCAAGACAACAAGAUUGGACAGAUCCUAACGAACCUCGCUAAAUUCGCUGUCGAUUCUACAGCCAACGGCGCUCUCAAAGGCGUCACUGGUUAGUUAUCUCUCUAUUAUCAUCAAAAUUGAAAAUUUCUAACUUUGAAUUGUUUGAUUAAACCGGUAAUUAAGAACAAUUAUGCUUCCAAAUUGUUAUAUAUUGCUAGUUCUCCGUAUGAAUUUGUGCUUGUAGGAUAUUAUUUAUGCGUAGAUUUGAACUGUUUCUGAAUUCAUGGCCAAAAUUGAUGUGGUCAAUUGGGUACUUCGCUUCUUCUCUGUUAUCCUUGGAAAUAGUUUUGUCUUUGCAGUGUAUUAAUGGCCUCUAAUCAAUUAAUCGUUUAGAUAGGUACAGCUCCUUCCAAUUUAGUUUAAAGUCCGUGUUUGUGACUUUUUGCAUAUAGAAUUGAAUUCGAACACAGGCAUGUAAUCUGGCACUUUCUAAGAUCACAUAUUAGACGAUCUAAAUAUGCCUUUACUUGCAUGAGUAAGCUGAGGAAUAUCAUUUUUACUUGAUGAAUAUGUGAAGAGCAUAUUUGAAGUGCUAAUUCUUUCCAAGGGCUAGAGAACAACCCGUGAAUUUGGACCUCAGGCGCUAAACUAAACAAAACUUCACUAUGGAAGUAUGUCUGCAAUGUUAUGAACUAACUUUCAGUGAUCAACAAAAUGGCAUAGCUGUUCCCGUGCUUUUAUACUUUUUAUUAUAAUCCAAUUAUUUUUCUCAUCAUUUGUUUUAAUUUAGCCACCAGCCUUAUCUCAUUUGCUUUUUAUUUGGUCCCAUUUUUGGUAACCCUGUUUUCCAAAUGGUUAGCCUGGGGAGAAGAGGUGAUAUAAAUCAAUAGAAAAUGUCAGUUUCUGAAUAGAAUAGAAGGGGGCAAAUUUUCUUAUGCGGUGAAUGUUCAUUCUUUAAAUUAAGGAUUGGCAAUGCUAGAUGGAUUUUCUUUCUAGCAUAUUCUAUAUGUUGUCAUUUUAAAAGUCAUUUACUGGUUAGGACAGGCUUUGCUAAGCUUGAAUGUUUCAUGACCUGGACUGGUUUAAUUUUAAGGCUUUGACCACCAAUUGUCCCAAUUUUGAAGUAGACUCUACAAUAUAUCGAAUGAUCUUAGUUUUAUUAGAUAUGUAGAUGACUAAGACUUUUUGUAUUUUUAUACAAUCUGCUUGCUCAUCUUUUUUUUUUUUGGCCUUGAUUCUAUUUUAAACAUUCUUAACAGGGUCCAAGUGUGCACCCCUCAUUGUUGCAUUUUAUCAUUCCACCAUUAAGUUUAUCAUAUUUUGAAUAUUGUAGGUCCAAAGAAGUUUUAUAAGUUUGUGCAGGAGAGAUUGCAGAAUCCACCAACUUCACUUCCCUUAAAUAACUGUAAGAGACCUGCAGAUGUUAAAUUAGUGGAGGAGAUGCAAAAAAAAGUAGAAGAAAUGCUGGAAGACAUGGCAAAGUUAAAACAACAAAAUGAGACAUCAGCCAAAUGCAUGGAGGGAACAAAACCUGUGAAGAAGGGACCAAAUGAAGGCAGCAGAAAGUUAGAUGUUUUGGAACCUGAGAAGAAGAGAAUUUUUAUUCGUUCUCGGCUGUAGAAUGGGGUCAACCUUAAUGACCUCAAUGCCUGAAACUUAAAAUGGCCAAAAUAACUGCAUUCUAUGUCUUUCUUAAUAGUGUCGUGGAUAAACAAUGCUUAUUAGCUGUACCAUUAUGUUAAGUUAAUAGCUUUUUACUGUAUAUGGGUAUUGGUUUUUCCAUUAAUGCUUCCUCUUUUCUUCCUCUGGUCUUCUUUCUAAUUGUUUCCUUAUUUUCUGGUUAGAGGAUUCUAUCUGGAAGUUGUUUGUAGGAUGACCUUACAAUUCAAAACUAAUGUUUAUUUCAAGAGUUAAAAUUUCCUGAAAAAGAAUUAUUCAAAAUUGAAUUUGUCAUUACUUAUCAGUCAUGCUCAUUUUACGAAGUCAUUGAAUAGGGUAAUCGUAGAUUUUAUAUUACAGCUCAAUGAAAUUAAACUCGAAAAGAAUUAAAAUCUUCAAUUUUUUCAAAUUGGGAGUUUUUGUUUGUAAUCGACACUGUGAACCGAAAACGGCAGACUUUGUCCUCCUGAAGUUGUCUGCCUUGGUCAUUAGCCCAAAUAAAUAAGGGUAGUUUUGUCACUUAGUAAAAAAUUUCUCUUCAUUUCCAUCCGCAUCUGUUGCUUCUUGUUUCUCUCACUCUCGCAGUUUCUCUCAACUUCCACUCUCUAGGGUAAACAAUCAUGGCAGCAUGGACUGCGGCUGCUCGUCAAGCCGCGAAUCUCACUACGCUUUCCUCUCCAAGAGUUGCUUCAGCUCCUCAAGCUGCUUCCCUCAUCCAUCGGCGCGGUCUAGCCGGUGGUGGAGGUAAUCUUUUCUGUCCUUUUUGGAAUCCAAAAGAUCAAUGCUUGAGACCUAAAAUUGUUGUUUUUGUUUUAGUUUAUUUUUCUCAAAUUUAUCUAACAAUUAAGGAUUGAUGUUGAUGCUAAAACUGUAUCUGCCAAGGAUCAUAUAUGCAAUUUAUUGUUUUGAUACAUUUGCCGAUAUCAACUAGGAAAAGAGAAAAAAUAAAUAAAGAAAACAAAAUAAAGGAAUUUUUGAUGUUUGGGGUUUUGUUGAUUAUUAGUUUUGUUUGUUUGAUUUGUAUUGC